Molecule: non-coding RNA, 30 nt
Filed under: Homo sapiens (human)
Lineage: Eukaryota; Metazoa; Chordata; Mammalia; Primates; Hominidae
Source: RNAcentral
UAGCAUUACUCUAAGCAUACCUCCACGGCG